GUACAGGCUGGAACAUCUUUUGACGGGUUUGCGGCUCCGUACGCUGACUCCUCGAAACGAGCCAUAUACGUCCUUUCUCCUUGACGACUUGCCUCUGCCAAUAGUGGUAAUGUAAUAGAAACCGGCCGGGCAGAAUCAUGGCCUCACUUAAAUGCAGCCAAGGGUCUUUGGCUCGAGGGUGGAGGCGGAGCCGUUCAACUUGUCUUGCUGAUCAAGUGGACAAAGACCAAAGGCAACAGAAUCGAAGGUGAGCUGCAAGUGCAUGGAAGGGGUCCCGCUAGCAAUAUCGUCUUGCUGCAAACAGAAUCUAUAUAUUCUCCACACCA
RNAcentral lists this small RNA (326 nucleotides) under Histoplasma capsulatum var. duboisii H88. Its description in RNAcentral is "Histoplasma capsulatum H88 hypothetical RNA". The record is from RNAcentral. Lineage: Eukaryota; Fungi; Ascomycota; Eurotiomycetes; Onygenales; Ajellomycetaceae.